CUCUUCAAGCCAAAGAAAAAGAGGUGUACCGAACGGAACACGCUACACGCGCACAGAGUCGAGGAAACUAGGGGAACUUGGGGCGUAGGGUUUUUGAUCGAAAUCUUCUGGAUCUCGUGGGUAGUUAGGUGGCGAUCCUUCUGGUCUCAUCCUCUCUCUCAUUGGAACCUGUUUUCUUCCUUCCCUCGUCAUGAUUUGAAGCUCAUGGUUGGGUACAGCUUCGAUGGAGAAAAUUUUGAUUUACUACAGAGUGAAAGCUUCAAUUAUAAAUCUUCUCUCUCCAUCAGUCGGUUUGGUUGGGAUUAAGAUCAAUUUGCAUCGUUUCUUUCUGUAUCGGACAGCGUCGGAGGAGAUGCAAGUGGUUAAAAGCCAUUUGCUUCGACCCAAGCCAUGGCGGCACCCAAAUCUUAACAUGGUAAGAUUUUGUCCAGCAAGAAUAAACAAUGUAUAGAAACCAUCAGUUUGAAAAUUCUAAUCCAGUCUCUUUUUUCUUUUGGAAUCCUUGAUUUUACACGUUCAUAUACUUGUUCCUAUUUUUGCUUGAAUAUUCAUGUGCAAAUACCAAGUAUAUGUUCAGCCAUAUAUCAGUGGCUACUACCAGUCUGUUUCUGUUGUUUAUGAUAUCAAGCAUACUGUAUCUUCGUUGUUUUAGUUUUGGUAUCUCAAAUCCUGAAGGCGCAAGGCUAAUGGUAGUGUGUAGAAUUCAAUUGUUACUGUUAUGUCUGUUUACUAGCUGGCCUUGAACCAAGUAUCCCAAACCUUUCCCUCUAUUUCUCACCACCAAAUUUUACUCCUUUUAUAGUAGAAAAGAAGCCUAAACGCUGCAAUGUGAUCUACUCGUCCUUUCAUUCUCCAGCCUAUAUGUUUAGAAAGUGGGAAAAUAACUUGUUUUAGCAUCUAUUGAGAUUGUUAAUGUAUUCUGAUGGAUGCUGGUCUCUUACUUUUUUUGUUGUCAUGUACACAUGUCUUUUUAAUAAACAUGCAAUCGCCUUGGCCAUCUAUGCAAAAUGUAUUUUAUUUUACCAAAAGCUAUGAAUAGAGUACUGUUGAAAAGUGUAUCAGAAGAGAGAGUUACCUUUGCUGGAAAUUCUUGGCCAUCUCUUGGAAGGUAUAUUUUUUAUGGGGUUGCUCAAAUUUAAUGUAGUUGAGCAAUUUCUCUCAUUCUUAUUUUGUAUGAGUUUGUGUAGUUAUAAAUUUCCUCAACAUGUUGUUUGGAGGUUACAAUGAUCGACUCAGCUCUCUGCUCCAUCAGGUUCGUUUAUUUGACCACUAUUCACCGCAUUAUUGUGAUCUUGAAUGGUUAGUAUCCCCGUACUUGUGAAAGUUAAACAAAAUGAGAUACCAUUGUGAAUAUCUGUUCUGGAUAUUGGUCUCUUUGUGUUUAUUUUUAUUAUUUUUUUCUCAGGUGGAUUCUUUUCUCAGGUGCAUUAUACAUGUUUGCUUCAUGCAGGAUUAACAGACUGAACUCUGCGAGUUAUCUUUCUUUAAUAAGGCAAUAAUAAUGUAAAACUGAUUAUUACUGAGAAUGAAUCUUCUUCGUCUUCUUCGACAACAGUUUGUACGCUUCUUCUUUUCUUACUAGUCCUACAUGGCUUUAUCAGAGCCCUGAUCAAUCUCAAGUCUUGUAGAUAAGGGGAGCUUGCACUGGAAGGAGCUCAUUAUUUGACAACCGCGGAGGUCGUGAGUCUCAGUGAGCAGCAGCUUGUGGACUGUGAUCAUGAGGAAGUGAGAGGCUUGUCUUGUUAAGCUUUCAUGAACAAGAGCUAAAGCUGCUAGUAUAUGCUUUUGCCUUUGAAAUAUAGGUUUGGAUCUUUUCCUUCAAGUCUGAGAAUAAUGAACUACCAAGAGAGUUUUGUCCUGUAAACCAUAUGUAAACCAUGUUUGCUGCAAUAAAAGUUAUUUCUUCUGUUCCAAAAUC
This is a long non-coding RNA of Rosa rugosa (rugosa rose), 1918 nucleotides long. RefSeq lists it as uncharacterized. NCBI's taxonomy places the organism in Eukaryota, Viridiplantae, Streptophyta, Magnoliopsida, Rosales, Rosaceae. The transcript is spliced from 3 exons. The record is from RefSeq and is a predicted model, not a curated record.